This 437-nucleotide ribosomal RNA is filed under the name uncultured bacterium. Its description in RNAcentral is "bacterial SSU rRNA". It matches the Rfam family "Bacterial small subunit ribosomal RNA", at positions 355 to 786 of the family's 1533-position model. The record is from RNAcentral.
UGAGGAAUAUUGGUCAAUGGGCGAGAGCCUGAACCAGCCAAGUCGCGUGAGGGAAGACGGCCCUACGGGUUGUAAACCUCUUUUGUCGGGGGAGCAAAGACUGCCACGUGUGGCAGGAUGAGAGUACCCGAAGAAAAAGCAUCGGCUAACUCCGUGCCAGCAGCCGCGGUAAUACGGAGGAUGCGAGCGUUAUCCGGAUUUAUUGGGUUUAAAGGGUGCGCAGGCGGACCGGAAAGUCAGCGGUAAAAAUGCGGGGCUCAACCCCGUCGAGCCGUUGCAAACUGUCAGGUCGUAGAGUGAGUGAGAAGUAUGCGGAAUGCGUAGUGUAGCGGUGAAAUGCAUAGAUAUUACGCAGAACUCCGAUUGCGAAGGCAGCAUACCGGCGCUCAACUGACGCUCAGGCACGAAAGCGUGGGUAUCGAACAGGAUUAGAUACC